This 23-nucleotide microRNA is filed under the name Bos taurus (domestic cattle). RNAcentral describes it as "Bta-Mir-376-P1_5p* (star (passenger))". Lineage: Eukaryota; Metazoa; Chordata; Mammalia; Artiodactyla; Bovidae. The record is from RNAcentral.
GGUGGAUAUUCCUUCUAUGUUUA